Molecule: long non-coding RNA, 2521 nt
Filed under: Androctonus crassicauda
Lineage: Eukaryota; Metazoa; Arthropoda; Arachnida; Scorpiones; Buthidae
Source: RNAcentral
CUCAUAUUGCAGUGAAUGAAUGUCUACUACCUUCAGGCAUCGCUUACCUCGGGUAGCCGGGGUGAGUAUCUUUUAUUUUUUCCUUAGUUGUAAAUGGAAGAAAGGAACAUUGCCCUUUUUUUUCUUGUUUUGUUGACGUGUAUUUCACGUGGGCGAAAAAAACAACGUGCUAGAUUUCUAUUAGUAAAGUUGUUAGCGGGCGAAACUGGCGCUUCGCCAGCGUCUAUACGUCGAUGCGACGCGAACCUUAUUCGCACGAUGUUAACGUGUGCAUCUCACGCCUGUUUUUCGAUUGACAUUAGCCUGUAAAGAUGGCCUAUCGAUGUAGCACUUAGUCAAUGUUGGAAUUAGGGCGUAAAUCCGAUUUCCGACCCCAUACUAAGGUUCGAGUCUGGCGUGUUGCGCGCCAAGCUAAGACGGAAGGCGUCAGGAUUUUUAGUGUGUUGGCACGUGAAACCGGCGCCGUUAACAUUCAGAUUCUGGUAUGGUGGUUGGCACGUGAGCUGUGUCAAGAUCGAAUUUCGGUGCGAUGCUAGAAACUGCUCAUAAUAAUAAUAACCGAAAAUCAAGCUUUAAUAUAUCAAUUAACGUAAUUCCUGUAUUUUGGGAAUCUGAUUUUUAAAUUUAUACAGUAUCGUAUUUAUUUGACACCGGAAUUUUUCUAUACUUGAGGCAGAUUUUUUAACGUAUAAUAUAAUUUAAUGGAAAAGCGCUUAUUUUAUCCAUAGCUAAUAGCUAAAAGCUAAAGGUUCGUUAUUCUAUGUAUAAAAGCUAAUGAUUACUUCGCCUCCCUCGAGUUAAUAUCAAAAGAAACCUUGGCAGAGUCUCUAGUGACUCGGCCCACUCCUAGUAGCAACCGGGCAGAACCAGGUGCAUCGUUUUCCGGAUUGUUUCCUUUCACCAUAAUUCGACCGACGAGAAUUACGCUAACGGUAACGUAUAAGUUUAUUUAACGAGAGGUCAGCGGAAAGAACGGAUUGUUAGUGAGGGUAAACGGGAAUCUUGUUUUUUUCCCUGACUGUAUCAAUAACAACGCUCCUUCCACUUCACCUCAAUUAUUUACCGCUACUCCGCUCUUACAGUAAGCUAACUGCUACCUCGACUACCUUUUUUUUAAGCCGCGCAGUAUUUUUUCCCCGUAAUGAUCUACUCGCGCGGCAGUAAUGGCCACCCAACUCUGGAACUGUGGCCGUUCCAAUGUUUUUUCGGGGGACUUUGGGGAGAAGCGUCAAUCGCCUCCCCCACUAAAUCGCUGUCGGGGGAAAUGCCCGUUUUAAGACUGCUCCGUCUUAUAAUUCGGAUUAGUUAACAAAGGCGGCGCCCCCUUUCGCCCCCCACUAAUCCGCUCCCUCUGCACUCGUGACGUCAGCUCCGAGACGUCCCGGGAGGUGCGAGGGGCGGAGACGUGACUCAUUCCGUCCACCUCCCGUUAACUCGUGCCAUUAUCUGUCCCUCCACCGUUCAUUGUCCUUGGACGGCACAAAGGGUGCUUCUCCGGCUCUCCGUAACUGAAUGGACACCGAACGGCAGCCUGUCGAUGCCAUAGAAGGUAAGGCGCCUUUUGGUUAGCGUCUGCCGGAAGCCCCUGCGCAGGGUCACCGUUUGUCCAGUCACUGGAGGUGACAGUUAUGGAUUCCCGCCCUUAUCUGUUUCCUCCGGUCAUAUCUGCGCUGUCAGAUAACCGAGGUGUCGACCGCUCUCCCAAGUAAAUCGAAUAUAGCGCGCCAACGCGAUUGAAAUUGGAAGUGGCUUUCUACUUCCGCAAUUUUUUUUUCUAAGGGGGCAACAAGUCCGAGAUGAAGUCGGAACUUGCCCAUUAAUAGAACUCUCGGCUCGUUAACUGUUCCAAACAAUAAAGGCGAUCGAAGUCGCGUAGACUCUCGGUCGCCUCGGUCUCUAAUAGGUGAUAGAUUUUUCUUCGUCUCAUUAGAUCGGCAGCCGGCCAGACGUUACCAAAGAAACUUUCACUUCUAAUCCACUUUCACUUACGUUAGUUGCUAAUCUAAGUUGGUGGAUCAUUAAUUAGCAAAAAAUGAUCGUCCGGCUGGAAGGAAGUCGUGUUCUUGUUUUGGUUCGACGCCCUUUCUAAGGAUUCGUUUAGAAUAAAUGACAUAUACGUAUACGCAUGUUCACUUGUAUUUUUCUUUUAAAUGAUAGCUUACAGCUCGGAUUACAGGCUGAUAUUCGUAUUUAUUUGGCUAGUGGAUCGAUUUAACAGUCUCGAAAUUAUAAUGACUUAAAUCGAGCCGAUUAGGAUUAAUUCCGGAUAACUAAUAGCUAUAAUUCGAAUUUAUCCAUCAUUUCCUUACACUUAAGCUAAUAUGAUUACACGUAAUCCAUGAUCUAAUAAGGUUAUUUCAUGCUCCUUUUUUGCAUUAUAUUAAAAUAAUUCAUCUUUAUAUCCUCUUCCCGAAGCAAAAACUAAAGCAAUUACGAAACCGGAAGUUUUCACAAUGCUUGUUAUGAAAUGAUAAAAAAACAAAAUCAGAAUUAAAAUUUGUUACAUAUUCUUUUGUAUGGG